UGAGUCCUGAGCUGCAUAGGUAAAUUUCUCUCUGCUGCAGAGGUAAAGCGGAACCACUGAAGAUCAGUUAUCUGGACAAGAUUAUAUAUUAUCUAAAUCCAACACUUUAAAGGAAACUGCUGUCAACACCAUCUCUCUGCAAGAAAAGAGUCCAGACAAACUUGCAUCACCACACAUUAUAGUUUUCUACAUGGUCCCACACAGCUUACUAAAGUUCUUUAUAACAAAUGGCUGUCAUGGUGGUGUUCAGAAUAAUGAUGUCAACUGUUAUUCAUAUUCUUGCUUUGUGUGGAUGGAGUUUCUAACUGAUCCAGGUUUCAACAGGGAAGAGCAGUGA
This 337-nucleotide long non-coding RNA is filed under the name Zonotrichia albicollis (white-throated sparrow). RNAcentral describes it as "lncRNA (ENSZALG00000016653.1)". The record is from RNAcentral. Lineage: Eukaryota; Metazoa; Chordata; Aves; Passeriformes; Passerellidae.